UACGGAGGGCGCGAGCGUUAUCCGGAUUUAUUGGGUUUAAAGGGUGCGUAGGCGGACGCUUAAGUCAGCGGUAAAAUUGCGGGGCUCAACCUCGUCGAGCCGUUGAAACUGGGUGCCUUGAGUGGGCGAGAAGUACGCGGAAUGCGUGGUGUAGCGGUGAAAUGCAUAGAUAUCACGCAGAACUCCGAUUGCGAAGGCAGCGUACCGGCGCCCUACUGACGCUGAAGCACGAAGGCGUGGGUAUCGAACAGG
This 252-nucleotide ribosomal RNA is filed under the name uncultured bacterium. RNAcentral's name for it is "partial 16S ribosomal RNA". It matches the Rfam family "Bacterial small subunit ribosomal RNA", at positions 524 to 776 of the family's 1533-position model. The record is from RNAcentral.